RNAcentral lists this unclassified non-coding RNA (234 nucleotides) under plant metagenome. RNAcentral describes it as "partial contains small subunit ribosomal RNA, internal transcribed spacer 1, and 5.8S ribosomal RNA". The record is from RNAcentral.
UUUCCGUAGGUGAACCUGCGGAAGGAUCAUUACUGAGUGAGGGCCCUCUGGGUCCAACCUCCCACCCGUGUUUAUUGUACCUUGUUGCUUCGGUGAGCCCGCCUCACGGCCCCCGGGGGGCAUCUGCCCCCGGGCCCCCCCUCGCCGAAGCCACCCUUGAACUCUGUCGGAAGUUUGCAGUCUGAGCGAAAAAUAAAUAAGUUAAAACUUUCAACAACGGAUCUCUUGGUUCCG